UGAACGCUAGCGGUAGGCUUAACACAUGCAAGUCGAGGGGUAACGAUAUCUUCGGAUAGGCGACGACCGGCGCACGGGUGAGUAACGCGUAUGCAACCUACCAGAAGCUGGAGAAUAGCCCCCGGAAACGGGGAUUAAUGCUGCAUAAUGUUCUGAUAUUUCCUAAUAUUUGAACCAAAGCUCCGGCGGCUUCUGAUGGGCAUGCGUGACAUUAGUUUGUUGGUGAGGUAACGGCUCACCAAGACGACGAUGUCUAGGGGGUCUUAAAGGAUGAUCCCCCACACUGGUACUGAGACACGGACCAGACUCCUACGGGAGGCAGCAGUGGGGAAUAUUGGUCAAUGGGCGAAAGCCUGAACCAGCCAAGCCGCGUGCAGGAUGACGGCCCUAUGGGUUGUAAACUGCUUUUAUACAGGAAGAAUCCCCUGACGUGUCAGGGAUUGACUGUACUGUAAGAAUAAGCAUCGGCUAACUCC
RNAcentral lists this ribosomal RNA (476 nucleotides) under uncultured bacterium. Its description in RNAcentral is "bacterial SSU rRNA". It matches the Rfam family "Bacterial small subunit ribosomal RNA", at positions 30 to 504 of the family's 1533-position model. The record is from RNAcentral.